UACAGAGGUGGCAAGCGUUGUUCGGAAUUACUGGGCGUAAAGGGCGCGUAGGCGGCCAUCUAAGUCAGACGUGAAAUUCCUCGGCUUAACCGGGGAACUGCGUCUGAUACUGGAUGGCUUGAGUUCGGGAGAGGGAUGCGGAAUUCCAGGUGUAGCGGUGAAAUGCGUAGAUAUCUGGAGGAACACCGGUGGCGAAGGCGGCAUCCUGGACCGAUACUGACGCUGAGGAGCGAAAGCCAGGGGAGCAAACGGG
Molecule: ribosomal RNA, 253 nt
Filed under: uncultured bacterium
Lineage: Bacteria
Description: partial 16S ribosomal RNA
Rfam family: Bacterial small subunit ribosomal RNA
Source: RNAcentral